RNAcentral lists this ribosomal RNA (676 nucleotides) under Umbelopsis ramanniana. RNAcentral's name for it is "eukaryotic LSU rRNA". It matches the Rfam family "Eukaryotic large subunit ribosomal RNA", at positions 50 to 648 of the family's 3401-position model. The record is from RNAcentral. Lineage: Eukaryota; Fungi; Mucoromycota; Umbelopsidomycetes; Umbelopsidales; Umbelopsidaceae.
GCGGAGGAAAAGAAACUAACAAGGAUUCCCUCAGUAACGGCGAGUGAAGCGGGAAGAGCUCAAAUUUAAAAUCUGGUUUACUUGUAAGCCCGAGUUGUAGUCUGAAGAAACGUUUUCCAUAAGCACUGAGGCAAAAGUCCCUUGGAACAGGGCAUCAUAGAGGGUGAGAAUCCCGUCCAUGGUCUCAAGUUGUUUAUUUUGUGAUACGUUUUCAAAGAGUCAGGUUGUUUGGGAAUGCAGCCUAAAAUGGGUGGUAAAUUUCAUCUAAAGCUAAAUAUUGGCGAGAGACCGAUAGCGAACAAGUACCGUGAGGGAAAGAUGAAAAGAACUUUGAAAAGAGAGUUAAACAGUACGUGAAAUUGUUGAAAGGGAACCGUUUGAAGCCAGUCUUACUUGCUCGUGAUCAAUUUUUGCCUCGGCAUGAAUGCACUCUCGGGUAUGGUAGGCCAACGACAGUUUAGAAUGCGAGAAAAAAAUAGGGGAAAUGUGGCCUUCGGGUGUUAUAGUCCCUUAUAAAAUAUCGUGUUCUGGACUGAGGAUCGCAGCAAAAAUGUGGGCAGGUGGAUUUCUGUGGUAACUGUCGGUUAGGACAACUUGUUGACCUAGUCUUCCUUAGCCUCACUAUUUACCUUGCUUCUAAUUUGCUUAGGUCGUUGGCAUAAUGGCUUUAAAUGAC